UUCUAAAUGGCGGAAUUUAUCUGCGCAUGGCGGACUGUCUGUCUUCCAAGUCAAUCACACUGCGAAAACAAACAACACUUUACGGAAAACGAAAGUGAAAGUAGAAAUAUUUAUUUCUUAAACAAUGUUAUACGUGAUAGGCUUAGGCCUCGGUGACGCUAAGGACGUGACAGUCAAGGGUUUCGAAAUAAUUCGCAAGUGCGAUCGCGUCUAUCUGGAGGCCUACACGUCGGUACUGACCGUCGGGCAUGAGACUUUGGAAAAAUUUUAUGGCAGACCAGUCAUUGUUGCUGACAGAGAACUGGUCGAGAGCGGGGCCGACGAGAUUCUGGCCGAAGCGGAAGUAAAGAAGGUGGCUUUCCUUGUCGUUGGCGAUCCAUUCGGAGCGACGACUCACACGGAUCUGGUUCUCAGGGCGAGAGAGAAGGGGGUGCAAGUUCAGGUCGUUCACAAUGCCUCUAUAUUGAAUGCAGUUGGCUGCUGCGGUCUGCAGCUAUACUCCUACGGAGAAGUUGUCUCGAUUCCUUAUUGGAUAGAGAACUGGGAGCCAGAUAGUUUCUACGAUAAAAUAGCGACGAACAGGGAACGUGGUCUUCACACUCUCUGUCUUUUGGAUAUCAAAGUAAAGGAACCCACUCUGGAGAGCAUUCUGAAACGGAAAAAGGACUACAUGCCUCCGAGGUUCAUGAGCGUUGCCGAAGCUGCCGAUCAGCUACUGAAGAUUGUCGAAAGGAAGAUUGAAGCUGGCGAAAAAGGUUUAGCUUUCACUGGCGACAGCCUGGCCGUGGGAUUGGCGCGCGUCGGGGCCGAUGAUCAGCGAAUCGUUGCCUGUUCUCUGCGCGAAAUGAUAGAGGCAGAUCUCGGGCCACCGUUGCACUGCCUUGUUGUUACAGGUCCGAUUCUGCAUCCGUUGGAGGCCGAAUAUCUUCUUCAGUAUGCGACGGACAAGGAAAAAUUCGAAGAAAUGACAAAACAGAAGGAGAGCCCAUGACGUGAAUUUCAGCGUUAGAAAUGAAACCGUGCUUGAUGUUGCAGAUGACGUGAAAACUAUGUGUCGAACGAUGCGGAGAUAACGAGGCGUACGCCGGACGGUCGGGUGGUAUCUUGCAAUACCUUAGCAUAUCAAAUUACCUACGCAAAUCCAUCCGUCACCCCGAAAAGACGUCGGCGUUGGCUAGGGUCGCGUGCCAGGUCACCGAGGUCAAAAGCAGUACCGGCGAUCCAUACGGAUCGUAGUUAUCCUCCCAGGUGUGGGUGAACGAGCAGGCAAUCGCGAACACUCAAACCCUUGCUCAUGUUACAUAGUGUUAUCGAUUUCAGGGUAGUAGCGUGGCUUGAGCAGCUCGCGGUCGCCUUUGCACAAGUCCGAAGUACACAGGCACGACACUCGCUCUCUCUGCAAUCGAUG
Molecule: unclassified non-coding RNA, 1408 nt
Filed under: Neodiprion lecontei (redheaded pine sawfly)
Lineage: Eukaryota; Metazoa; Arthropoda; Insecta; Hymenoptera; Diprionidae
Description: diphthine methyl ester synthase, transcript variant X2
Source: RNAcentral